CACUACAACGGGUGGAGCCUGCGGUUUAAUUGGACUCAACGCCGGAAAACUCACCGGGGGCGACAGCAAUAUGUAGGUCAAGCUAAAGACUUUACCAGAAUCGCUGAGAGGAGGUGCAUGGCCGUCGUCAGUUCGUACUGUGAAGCAUCCUGUUAAGUCAGGCAACGAGCGAGACCCGUGCCCACUGUUGCCAGCAUGUCCUUCGGGAUGAUGGGUACUCUGUGGGGACCGCCGAUGCUAAAUCGGAGGAAGGUGCGGGCUACGGUAGGUCAGUAUGCCCCGAAUCUCCCGGGCUACACGCGGGCUACAAUGACUGGGACAAUGGGCUCCUACCCCGAAAGGGGAUGGUAAUCUCCUAAAACCAAUCUUAGUUCGGAUUGAGGGCUGCAACUCGCCCUCAUGAAGCUGGAAUCCGUAGUAAUCGCGUUUCAACAGAACGCGGUGAAUACGUCCCUGCUCCUU
This 462-nucleotide ribosomal RNA is filed under the name uncultured Methanomethylovorans sp. Its description in RNAcentral is "bacterial SSU rRNA". It matches the Rfam family "Archaeal small subunit ribosomal RNA", at positions 877 to 1338 of the family's 1478-position model. Lineage: Archaea; Methanobacteriati; Methanobacteriota; Methanomicrobia; Methanosarcinales; Methanosarcinaceae. The record is from RNAcentral.